Molecule: ribosomal RNA, 253 nt
Filed under: uncultured bacterium
Lineage: Bacteria
Description: partial 16S ribosomal RNA
Rfam family: Bacterial small subunit ribosomal RNA
Source: RNAcentral
UACGUAGGUCGCAAGCGUUGUCCGGAUUUACUGGGCGUAAAGAGCUCGUAGGCGGUUUGUCGCGUCUGCCGUGAAAGUCCGGGGCUCAACUCCGGAUCUGCGGUGGGUACGGGCAGACUAGAGUGAUGUAGGGGAGACUGGAAUUCCUGGUGUAGCGGUGAAAUGCGCAGAUAUCAGGAGGAACACCGAUGGCGAAGGCAGGUCUCUGGGCAUUAACUGACGCUGAGGAGCGAAAGCAUGGGGAGCGAACAGG